Molecule: long non-coding RNA, 8444 nt
Filed under: Lactuca sativa (garden lettuce)
Lineage: Eukaryota; Viridiplantae; Streptophyta; Magnoliopsida; Asterales; Asteraceae
Description: long non-coding RNA (LSAT_LNC002148)
Source: RNAcentral
GAUUGUAUCCUGGUAGAUAGGAUUUGGUAUGCUAUUAUGAUAUGCUAGAUUGGUAUCCUGGUAGAUAAGAUGUUUUACGCUGUUAUGAUAUGUUAGAUCGGUAUCCUGAUAGAUAGGAUGUUUUAUGUUGCUAUGAUUUGUUAGAUCGGUAUCCUAUUAGAUAGGAUGUUGUAUGCUAUGAUGAUCAGUUAGAUCAAUAUCCUGGUAUAUAGGAUGAUGCUAUGUUAGUGGCCUGGUUAGGUCGGUAUCCUAGUUAUAAGAUGUUGCUAUGAUUGAUGAUCUGUUAGAUUGGUAUGACUGUUAUAUAUAUGCAAAUGUAUGAUAUUUAUGUACAUAUGUUUGUUUGAUUUGGGGUUGGGUUGAGGCGGUCCUGCUUUGUGCUAAAGGCCAACAUACCCAGGGUGGUUCGGUUAAACUGAAGGCCUUGCAAAGGGAUUCAGUUAGACCGAAGGCCCGACGAGCGAUCCGGAUAGGCUGUAGGCCCUGCGAGGCGGUCCAAACGUGCCGAAGGCUUGGAGAACAGUCCAGAUAGACUGAAGGUCUGUAAGGCGAUCCAGUCAAGUUGACAACUUGUGACAUCCCCAAAAUCACGGCCAGAAAAGACCGGUUUGUUUAUGCUUUGUUUAAAAAUCAGAGUUACAUUUUAAAUGAAAGUGUUGCGGAAUUUGUCCCAAAACAAAAUAUGAUAAAGAUUUAUCAAAAGCAUUUCCAUAGAAAUGUAUUUCAUUAAAAGACUUGGGAUGUCAUGUUCGUACAGAUCAAAAGCAUAAACAGUACAAUAUAAGCCUUACUACAUUAUUCCAUAUCUACAGGCCUAUAUCCGUAAUCCCUCGUCCAAAACAUCACAUCUAUGCUCAUGCGCCACUACCUGUAAUACAUAAAACUGAGUGGGUCAGGCUUGGGAGCCUGGUGAGCACAUAGGGUUUUCAACCCACAAUAAAUAAGUUUAUUAAUUUCAUCAAUCAACAAUAACCCGAUUACCCGUUCCCGUUAUCCUCACUUUACGUCCCUAAACACCUAUCAUAAGGGGCCUAGCCUAAGGAUCAGCAUCGGGACGGACACUACUGCUAAGGGGAUUCCUCAGCAAUAAAUGUCCUAAAGGCAACCAUGUGGGGGAUGGAGUACACCGGUGAACACAUCGUUCACAAACACCUACAGGUUGCGAGCCUGCUAGUGUUCCACUGGACUGUCUAGAAGAGUCCGUGGUCGUCAUCCAUACUCCGCUAGAUGACAGAAUCAACAACAUCAACAUCGAGGCCUCUCAUCAUUUUAUCACACAUCACCUAUUGCAUCUACCCAUGUUUUACCCCAACAUUUUCGUAGAUAUAAAAUACAUAUACAGUUUAAAUCAUUGAAAACAUGUAUAACAACGUUCAUCUAGCAUAGAUAGCAAGUAUUCAGAUAAUAUGCACACAUAGCACGUAAUUUAUAUAAAAUACUUCAUAUCUAUGUGUAAGUUGAAAGUAACUAUGCACUCACUUGUUAAGGUGAUGAUUCCAAAAUCGGGCAGCGCUUGCUUCUAACGAUUCUAUUUUCCUUCGACGAAACCUAGCAUUAUUAUCGCUAAAUUUUAGUCUAAUAUUUACCGUGACCAACUAUUAGUCUUAGUAUUAUUAUUAUUAUAUAAGCGUUAAACAAUAUUUUCCAACCACUAUGUACAGACAGGGGCCAGACAUAAAACACCGGAGGGCAGGACCAUUUUGGCAUAUAGCACUUCUGAAAUCCAACAACCCUAUGCGGCCCUUUAAACCAGAUUCCCCGUACCGCGAGUAGUUAAAAAAAAUAUUAUAACGACACUUAUAUAAGUUAUAAUAAUAGCUCAAAUAUUUAUUAUAAGUUCAUAAUAACAAUACUAAUUUUAAAUAUAAGCUAUAUUAAAAUAAGGUAAGCAUAACUUACUUACAAGGGGGUUUUAGCUAGGAGUCGGGCUCUGCAGGGGCAGAACUUCGUCGCUGAAUCUUUCUAAGAAAGAUUCGUGCAGCGCUUCAGCGCUCACCUUACUAUACUAAGCUACAGAAAGAGAAGUCGAAUCACGAGGGACCGAAAUGCUCGGGGGAUAAGGAGAGAAAGACUCUUGAAUCAAGAGAAUGGUGCAAGAAAUAUGAGAGCCCAAGGCUCUUAUUUAUACUAAUUGAAUUUUCAAAAACUACCCUCCAUAAUUACUUAAUGACCUUUUAGUUAUAUAAACAACUAAACACCCCUCUAUAAUACUAUUAUAAAUGGAUUUAAUGAUAUUUGUACUAAACUAAUGUCGAAAGAACUCAACAUUAGUCUUAUAAUGACCGCAUCGUCGAUACCUUUCUAAUGAUAUAUACAUAUGUAUAUAUAUGUGUACGUAUACAUGAUUUAUACUUUAUUUUAAUACGUAAAUAUGCUAUUAUAAUUUGUAACUCGUUCAUACGAACUCCGUUUUUGACGUUCUUUAUAUCCACGCGUAGGUGAAGACGUACUCUACAACUUUCGUUUAGACUCCGUCGGCUAAUUUUGACUUUAUUUUUAAAGUUAUAUUUUUAACAAGCCGGGACAGGAUUGGUCUGUUUAAAAUCUCAUAACUUCUUCAUACGAAGUCAGAUUUGGGCGUUCUUUUUAUCGAUGUUCUUAGUUUAACAUAUUCUACGACUUUCGUUUAGAUCACUAAGGCUAAAUCUCGCUCUAUCGUAAAUUCACUAUUCACGCUUCCCGGUAUCGUGCCGGUUCUGUCGUGAAACUUCGACGGGUCAUAACUUCUUCGUUAUAACUCGGAUUUCGGCGUUCCUUAUAUGCACGGAAACCUUGAGACAUAUUCUACAACUUUAUGUAGAGAUAUCGGGAUUAUCUCACACUUUAAUUUUGACGCUCAUUUUUAUUCUUUAUUAAUUAUACAUUUAUAAUUAAAUAAUAAACACAUAUAAUUCACAUAAUACUCAAAUAUUUCAUCUUUAUUACUUCAAAAAGAGUUACAAGAGUUGACCUAGACUAUUACAUUGACAAAAAUGCUUAGCCCUGAAACCCGGGCGUUACAAUUCUCUCCCCCUUAGGAUGAUUCCGUCCCGGAAUCAUGCAUCAGCAAACAGAUGUGGAUAGCGACUCAUCAUGUCAUCCUCUGUUUCCCAAGUGAGAUUCGGCCCAUUCGAAUGUUUCCAUCGGACUAGCACCAAGUCGACCAUCUUGCGUCGUAACUUCUUAGUCUUACGGUCAACAAUUGCCUCAGGCUCUUCGAUCAACCUUUUAUUUUCAUCCAUCCUUAACUCUGAGAUUGGAAUUAUGUCGGGAACAUCUCCCGUGAAUUUCCUCAAAUAACACACAUGGAAGGUGUUAUGAAUACCAUUGAGUUCUUCGGGCAAUUCCAGCUUGUAAGCUUGGUUCCCUAUCUUCUGAAGAACUUUGAACGGUCCAAUAAACCUUGGACUCAACUUUCCUCGUUUCCCAAAUCGUAUAAGUCCCUUCCACGGUGAGACUUUAAGCAAAACGGAAUCCCCAACUUCGAAAGUUAUCGGUCGUCUUUUCUUGUCAGCAUAGCUCUUCUGACGAUCCUGGGCUGCUAACAUCCUUUCCCUAAUCACCUUCAACUUCUCAGCAGUCUCAUGGACUAUCUCGGGGCCCAUAAACUGCUUCUCUCCGGCUUCAAGCCAACAAGACGGCGUACGACACUUCUGCCCAUACAAGGCUUGAUAAGGAGCCAUCUUGAUGCUCGAGUGAAAACUAUUGUUGUAGGAAAAUUCUACCAGAGGUAAGUGCUCGUCCCAAUUCCCUUGGAAUUCGAGGGUACAUGCUCUCAGCAUAUCUUCCAGCGUCUGAAUCGUUCUUUCGCUCUGACCAUCAGUUUGCGGAUGAUAAGCAGUACUCAAACACAACUUUGUACCUAACUCCUCUUGUAGACUCCUCCAAAACCUUGACGUGAAACGACUAUCACGAUCUGAUACAAUCGUAAGAGGGACACCGUGAAGUCUUACAAUUUCCUUCACGUAAGCAUUUGCGAGCUUAUCCAUAGACCACUUCUCGUUGGCUGCUAUGAAGUGUGCACUCUUGGUGAAACGAUCCACGACUACCCAAAUCAUGUCGUGACCGUUCUUCGUCCUGGGCAGUUUAGUCACAAAAUCCAUGGUGAUGUCUUCCCAUUUACCCAUGGGUACAGGUAAAGGUUCUAAACUCCCAUACGGUUUCUGAUGUUGUGCCUUAACCCUCGCACAUGUUACGCACUCGGCCACAUACUUCGCAACAUCGAGCUUCAUCGUCGGCCACCAGUAGUAGGGUUUUAGGUCCCUAUACAUUUUAGUGCUACCGGGAUGAAUCGAGUACAUGGUCUUGUGUGCUUCUUCCAUCAGAAGAUCUCUUAUUCCUCCCGUCUUAGGUACCCAAAUUCGAUCUUGGAAUACCUUCAGUCCUCGACUGUUUGUACCAAACACUAACGUUCUUCCCAAACGUUCUUCCUUUCGGUCAUUUUUCUCUAAAGCUUCUUCUUGAGCUUUCCUGAUACUUUCCACAAUCGUCGAGACGACUUCAAUUCUUAACGCUCUUGGCCUUUUCCUUUCCAGAUUGACUUUCCGACUGAGAGCAUCAGCAACAAUAUUUGCUUUACCUGGGUGGUAAAGUAUCUCACAGUCGUAGUCCUUGAGAAGUUCUAGCCAGCGUCGUUGCCUCAUGUUCAACUCCUUCUGAUUAAAGAGAUACUGGAGACUCUUAUGAUCAGUGAAGAGCUUGCACUUCGUGCCGUAGAGGUAAUGCCUCCAUAUCUUUAAGGCAAAAACUACCGCUGCCAACUCCAGAUCAUGAGUGGGGUAGUUCUUUUCGUGCUCUUUCAAUUGUCGAGAUGCGUAUGCUAUCACCUUUUCUCUUUGGGUCAGAACACAACCCAACCCGACUCCAGAAGCGUCACUAUAAACCGCGAAAUCUUCGACUCCAUCGGGUAGAGAAAGUAUCGGUGCUUCACAUAACUUCUUCUUUAGCUUCUCGAAUGCCUCAUCGUGUUUCUCACUCCACGUAUACGUAGCUCCUUUAUGAGUCAAAGCUGUUAAUGGAGCAGCUAUCGAAGAAAAGCCUUGGAUAAAUCGUCGAUAAUAUCCGGCUAAUCCUAGAAAGCUUCGAAUCUCCGUGGGACUCUUUGGACGUUCCCACUUCAUUACAGCCUCGAUCUUUGCGGGGUCAACCAUUAUUCCCUCCUGGUUAACAACAUGACCCAAGAAUUGGACUUCCCGUAUCCAAAAGUCGCAUUUGGAGAACUUUGCAAAAAGCUUCUCCUUCUUCAACACUUCUAAUACUUCCCGUAGAUGCUUGCCAUGCUCCUCUUGGCUUUUCGAGUAGAUGAGAAUGUCGUCGAUGAACACUAUCACGGAUUUAUCGAGGAAUGGUUUACAAACCCUAUUCAUCAAAUCCAUGAAUGCUGCGGGAGCAUUGGUUAGCCCGAAUGACAUAACCAAGAACUCGUAGUGUCCAUAUCUCGUUCUGAAUGCAGUCUUCUCAAUAUCCUGCUUUCUCACCUUUAGCUGAUGAUAUCCUGACCUAAGAUCGAUCUUUGAGAAGUAGCUCGAACCUUGCAGCUGAUCGAAUAGGUCAUCAAUCCUCGGCAAUGGAUACUUGUUCUUCACCGUUGCCUUAUUCAGCUCUCGGUAGUCUAUACACAUUCUCAUACUUCCGUCCUUCUUCUUCACGAAUAACACCGGAGCUCCCCAGGGUGAUGAACUAGGUCGAAUAAAACCGUUGUCCAACAGCUCCUGAAGUUGCGUCAUGAGCUCCUUCAUCUCCGUCGGUGCUAAUCGGUAAGGUGCCUUUGCUAUCGGUGUUGUUCCUGGUAACAAGUCUAUACGAAACUCCACUUGCCUAUCAGGUGGUAAUCCGGGAAGAUCUUCGGGAAAGACUUCCGGAUAAUCACACACAACCGGUAUAUUCUGCACCUCUUUCUUCUCCUUCUUGGCAUCGAUUACGAAUGCCAAGUAUGAUGCACAUCCUUUGGACAAACAUUUCCUGGCUUUCAUCAGGGAGAUGAUUCCAGAAUUCACUCUGCGUUUGUCCCCAUACACCAUAAAUGAUUCUUUUCCGGGUGGGUUUACCUUUACUAUCUUCUUUCGGCAUUGAAUCUCAGCAUCGUUGGCGCUAAGCCAAUCCAUACCCAAAACGAUGUCGAAACCGUUUAACUCUAUGGGUAAUAGCUCUUCGUGGAAUUCGUUUCCGUUUAGGUCAAUGACGAUGUUCCUAAUACGAUUACUAACAGGUACGAAUUUGCCACUGGCAACUUCUACAAUCAGGGCAUUAUCUAGUUUUUCUACAGGCAAUGCUAAUUUCCCACCAAAUUUAUGCGACACAAAGGAGUAGUUGGCUCCGGAAUCAAAUAGUAUAUUUGCAGGCAAACCAUUUACAAGAAAGGUACCUGAAGCGACGUCUGCUGCCUCCUUUGCAGCCUCGAGCGUCAUCUGGAAGGCUCUCGCCUUCGGCUUCGGUGGUAUGUUGGGUCUUCCUGUCUCCUUCUUCUUCGGGCAGUCCUUCAAAAUGUGCCCUUCUUCAUUGCACCCAUAACAGGCUUUCUGGUUGAGGGUGCAUUCAUUGGCGUAGUGCCCAGGCUUUCCGCACUUGUAACAAGUGACCCCUCCGUCACACUUCCCAGAGUGCUUCUUCUUGCACUUGUCACACCACUUCGCUUCUGAUCCUCCUCCCCUCGAACCAGACUUCGAGAAUCUACUCUUCUUGUUGGACUUCGAGGAUCCAUUGAACUUCCGUUUCUCACCAACCUCAGCCCUCUCCAGACCUCUUUCCUUUUGUUGGGUCUCCACGUUCUUAGCUGCUCGAACAGCUGAUUUCAGAGUGGUUGCCAUCUUGACUGUUGGGCCAAAGUCAGCCGGCAGUCCGUUUGCGAAUUUCUCAAUUUUGGAAAGUUCGGUUGGCACUAGGUAUGGAAACAACUUCAUCUUUUCCGUAAAUGCAGCAGCAUAGUCAUCGAUGCUCAUUCUCCCCUUCUUCAAAUUUUGGAACUCAUUGUUCAGAUCAAUCAGGUCUAUCUCUGAACAGUACUGCGCCUUCAGUUGUUCCAAGAACUCAUCCCAUGACAUUUUCAGAGCUUCUCCCCGUGGCAUUGUAUCUGCCAAUAGCUUCCACCAGCUCAAGACUCCAGUUUUCAAUUGUCUCACAGCGAAGACAGUCUUCUGCUUCUCGCUGCAGUCGCAGCUCUCAAACACCAUCUCCAUCUCGGAGAUCCAGUCCAUAAUCUCAACAGGCUUUGGGCUUCCUGAGAGACUUGGUGGUUUCGCACCCAAGAAAUUUUUGUACAUCCGCCCAUCCUUGUUGUUUCUCCCUUCUGGGCCAUCCUUUUGCUCACCUUGAGUCCCUACUUGACUCACUUGGCGGCUAUAGUUCCCUUCCUCAGAUGGCUCGGGAACUGGCUCCGUCGGUUCAACAUGUAUGGUAGGUUCGUCCCUAUUUUCGUGGAGCAUCCGUCUCAUUUCUUCCCUUUGUUCAGCUAGCAUAGCCUGAAUCAUGGCUUGAACUCCAGCCAUGGUGACUGGCUCAGGUGCAACUUCUUCAACAACAGGUAUUUGCUGAACCACUGGGGGUUGGUUCCUAUCUCCAUUUGCGUUCACGUUUCCGCUACGGGUCCUUGCCAUCUUGAUCUAUACACCGAAUAAGGUGAAUUUAGAUCUUUAUUUAGGAUAGACGUUUAAAUCGUCCUUAUCACUCCGAAACGUUUACAUGCUAGUUCUAAUAUCGUAGUCGUACGUUUAGAAUCCUAAACACAUAAGGUUUCCAGAUCCGGUCGGCAACAGACCAUAGAUCCGAACAAUUAACAGCAUAUUAUGCACAAAGCAUUUAGCACAUAAAAGCAUUUUAGGCACAAUUCCUAAAAUAAGCUAGUGCUCACACCUCACAAUCAUCGCUUAGCAUUCUAAGUUUAAGUCUAGAAAUCCUACAAAUUCCUAGUUCGCUUAAACUAAUGCUCUGAUACCAACUGUGACAUCCCCAAAAUCACGGCCAGAAAAGACCGGUUUGUUUAUGCUUUGUUUAAAAAUCAGAGUUACAUUUUAAAUGAAAGUGUUGCGGAAUUUGUCCCAAAACAAAAAUAUGAUAAAGAUUUAUCAAAAGCAUUUCCAUAGAAAUGUAUUUCAUUAAAAGACUUGGGAUGUCAUGUUCGUACAGAUCAAAAGCAUAAACAGUACAAUAUAAGCCUUACUACAUUAUUUCAUAUCUACAGGCCUAUAUCCGUAAUCCCUCGUCCAAAACAUCACAUCUAUGCUCAUGCGCCACUACCUGUAAUACAUAAAACUGAGUGGGUCAGGCUUGGGAGCCUGGUGAGCACAUAGGGUUUUCAACCCACAAUAAAUAAGUUUAUUAAUUUCAUCAAUCAACAAUAACCCGAUUACCCGUUCCCGUUAUCCUCACUUUACGUCCCUAAACACCUAUCAUAAGGGACCUAGCCUAAGGAUCAUCAUCGGGACGGACACUACUGCUAAGGGGAUUCCUCAGCAAUAAAUGUCCUAAAG